CGAGUGGCGGACGGGUGGAGUAACGCGUGGGUAACCUGCCUCAUACAGGGGGAUAACAACUGGAAACGGUUGAUAAUACCGCAUAAGCGCACGGUAUCGCAUGAUACAGUGUGAAAAACUCCGGUGGUAUGAGAUGGACCCGCGUCUGAUUAGCUAGUUGGCGGGGUAACGGCCCACCAAGGCGACGAUCAGUAGCCGGCCUGAGAGGGUGAACGGCCACAUUGGGACUGAGACACGGCCCAAACUCCUACGGGAGGCAGCAGUGGGGAAUAUUGCACAAUGGGGGGAAACCCUGAUGCAAGCGACGCCGCGUGAGCGAAGAAGUAUUUCGGUAUGUAAAGCUCUAUCAGCAGGGAAGAAAAUGACGGUACCUGACUAAGAAGCCCCGGCUAACUACGUGCCAGCAGCAGC
This 411-nucleotide ribosomal RNA is filed under the name uncultured bacterium. RNAcentral's name for it is "bacterial SSU rRNA". It matches the Rfam family "Bacterial small subunit ribosomal RNA", at positions 92 to 518 of the family's 1533-position model. The record is from RNAcentral.